ACUAUUUUGGCAGAAAAGUGUGAUAAAUUUAGAAUUUAUUUAUGUAAUAAUAUAUUACAAAUAGUA
RNAcentral lists this transfer RNA (66 nucleotides) under Pilophorus typicus. RNAcentral's name for it is "tRNA-Leu". Lineage: Eukaryota; Metazoa; Arthropoda; Insecta; Hemiptera; Miridae. The record is from RNAcentral.